RNAcentral lists this ribosomal RNA (253 nucleotides) under uncultured bacterium. Its description in RNAcentral is "partial 16S ribosomal RNA". It matches the Rfam family "Bacterial small subunit ribosomal RNA", at positions 524 to 776 of the family's 1533-position model. The record is from RNAcentral.
UACGUAGGGUGCAAGCGUUGUCCGGAAUUAUUGGGCGUAAAGAGCGUGUAGGCGGCCAGGUAGGUCCGGUGUGAAAACUCGAGGCUUAACCUCGAGAUGUCAUCGGAAACCAUCUGGCUAGAGUCCGGAAGAGGAGAGUGGAAUUCCUGGUGUAGCGGUGAAAUGCGCAGAUAUCAGGAAGAACACCAAUGGCGAAGGCGGCAUCCUGGACCAACACUGACGCUGAGGAGCGAAAGCCAGGGGAGCAAACGGG